Melospiza melodia melodia is the source of this 579-nucleotide long non-coding RNA. RefSeq lists it as uncharacterized. The transcript has 5 exons. Lineage: Eukaryota; Metazoa; Chordata; Aves; Passeriformes; Passerellidae. The record is from RefSeq and is a predicted model, not a curated record.
UUUUCCCCCCUUUUUUUUUUCCGAGGUAUCUAAAAUAAUGGCUUGUUAAGACAGUAAUAAAGCCGUGUAACUUGUGGGGAAAAGCACACUGUGGCUCACAAUCUGAAUUAAACGUGUGUCAUUGGGGCCUUUGAUCCUGGCUCUCCAGUCGUGGGAACCAGGAGAAGUCAUCUCCUGUGAACUGAGCAUGAUGGAUGGAAUCAGGCCAUUCUGAGCACCAUAAAAAAAUUGUUUUAGCGUUGCUGCGGGGGAAAUCUUCUACCUUCAAGAAACCUGAUAUUUUGGACCAGAUCCCUGUCUGAACAGGUUGUAUGCUGCCCUUUUCAAAAUCAAGCUAUCAGAGGAUGCCCUUCAGCAGAAGUGUUAAGAGGACUUGGCAAAGCUUGCUGGUGAGGCAGUGUGUCAGUGGGGCAUUUCCAAGGAACACCACUCAGAGAGCACUGGAGGAAGGAUUUCAGCUCUGAUGCUCUUCCAAGACAUCAGCACCAGCUGGCAUCACUGGCAUUCAUCUUUUGGGUGAGACUCUGGCUGGAAUCCUCUGUCUCUCUCAAAGCAAGCACUGCAGGUGAGUUCUUCUGA